AGUGAACGCUGGCGGCAGGCCUAACACAUGCAAGUCGAGCGGCAGCGCGGGUGUAGCAAUACAUCUGGCGGCGAGCGGCGGACGGGUGAGGAAUACAUCGGAAUUUACCCAAUCGUGGGGGAUAACGUAGGGAAACUUACGCUAAUACCGCAUGAACUGGAGACAGCAAAGCGGCGGACCUUCGGGCGUCGCGCGGUUGGAUGAGCCGAUGUCGGAUUAGCUAGUGGCGGGGGUAAAGGCCCACCCAAGGCGACGAUCCGUAGCUGGUCUGAGAGGAUGAUCAGCCACACUGGAACUGAGACACGGUCCAGACUCCUACGGGAGGCAGCAGUGGGGAAUAUUGGACAAUGGGCGCAAGCCUGAUCCAGCCAUGCCGCGUGUGUGAAGAAGGCCUUCGG
This 398-nucleotide ribosomal RNA is filed under the name uncultured bacterium. RNAcentral describes it as "bacterial SSU rRNA". It matches the Rfam family "Bacterial small subunit ribosomal RNA", at positions 30 to 421 of the family's 1533-position model. The record is from RNAcentral.